AUGAGCGACAAGUACAUCCACCGCUUGCUUGCUGCUAGCCCCGUUUUGGAGACCCUUGGUCUCAUGCUCAAGGGGAAGCCCGAGCGCGUCCAUGUCUGCAGCCAAAGCCUCCGGUGCUUGCUCCUUGGGUUGUCCAAGGUGGAGGAGUUCACCGUGGUGGACGCCCCGCUCUUGGAGCGCAUCAUCUUCUUCAAGCCGCCUUAUGGUGGAACCGAUUGCGUGAGGUUCAAGAUUGCUUCAGCACCCAAGCUGCGAGUGAUCGGCUACCUACAUGCAAGAAUUCACAAGCUGCAGAUCGGUAACAUCAUCAUCAAACCUGACACAAUCGCGAGCCCAUGCACUUUGGUCCCUAGUGUCGAGAUAUUGGCCGUGAAGGUGAACUUUGUUGUAUUCGGGGAGGUGAAGAUGUUGGCCAGCUUUCUAAGAUGCUUCCCCAGUGUUGGCACACUGCACAUCGAGGUCCUAGGGAAUUCAUGA
This 477-nucleotide ribosomal RNA is filed under the name Triticum aestivum (bread wheat). Its description in RNAcentral is "partial small subunit ribosomal RNA". The record is from RNAcentral. Lineage: Eukaryota; Viridiplantae; Streptophyta; Magnoliopsida; Poales; Poaceae.